AUUAAUAAUUCAUGGUCCGGGGAAGUGUUCGGAUCGCUGUGAUGCGGGUGGUUCGCCGCCCGUGACUCUGCGAGAAGUCCAUUGAACCUUAUCAUUUAGAGGAAGGAGAAGUCGUAACAAGGUUUCCGUAGGUGAACCUGCGGAAGGAUCAUUGUCGAGAUCAAAAUAUAUCGAGCGAUUUGGAAAACAUGUGAAUGAGCGGUGGCACAUGCUGCACAUUAAUUUUCAUCUCCAAUGUUGGCAUCGUAAAUGAAGCCAUGUUGAGGGUUGGAUUAAAACUCAAACUGGCGCAGAUACGCGCCAAGGGAAUUUAAAUAUACGAGCCUGCAUCGGGUUCGAUGGCGUGGAGUGUGUCGCACUUCACACGGAUCAAAAUGACUCUCGGCAAUGGAUAUCUCGGCUCUCGCAUCGAUGAAGAGCGCAGCGAAAUGCGAUACGUGGUGCGAAUUGCAGAAUCCCGCGAACCAUCGAGAAUUUGAACGCAAGUUGCGCCUGAGGCCAGCCGGCCAAGGGCACGUCUGCCUGGGCGUCAAGCGUUACAUUGCUCCGUGCCAACUCCAUCCCACCUAACGGGUGUGCAUGUGGGAGGGUCGGAUGUAGAGAGUGGCUCGUCGUGCCCGCGGGCGCGCCGGGCUGAAGAGCGGGUGAUCAUCUCGUUGGCCACGUACAACAAGAGGUGGAUGAAAUAUGUGCCUGUGUUGUACAGUUUGGCUCGAGAAGAGAUUACACUCAUCGGAUGAUCCCAACCCGAGCGUGUCAAUCCACGGACAACGGCUUGGAAUGCGACCCCAGGAUGGGCGAGGCCACCCGCUGAGUUUAAGCAUAUCAAUAAGCGGAGGAGAAGAAACUUACAAGGAUUCCCCUAGUAACGGCGAGCGAACCGGGGAAUUCUA
RNAcentral lists this ribosomal RNA (893 nucleotides) under Andreettaea quinqueseta. RNAcentral's name for it is "eukaryotic LSU rRNA". The stretch from base 377 to 532 matches the Rfam family "5.8S ribosomal RNA". Lineage: Eukaryota; Viridiplantae; Streptophyta; Magnoliopsida; Asparagales; Orchidaceae. The record is from RNAcentral.